RNAcentral lists this long non-coding RNA (349 nucleotides) under Homo sapiens (human). RNAcentral's name for it is "HSALNT0351424". The record is from RNAcentral. Lineage: Eukaryota; Metazoa; Chordata; Mammalia; Primates; Hominidae.
UAGAAAUAUUAUCCACUGCCUUAGGACCAUAAAGUUAAACAAUAAUUCCCUGUUGUGUUUCUUUGUUUGUUUUUACCAACUCCUCCCCUCCCCUACCUCCAGGAAAAGGCUGUUCAUGCUGGGUGAGCUCUAAGUCAUGUCAGUAUAGAUAGCUUUGCAAGUGGGGUCUUCCAUGAAAUUACCAGGUUCAUUGGUAUAUGUGCAGACUUUUUCUAUAGGUAAAUUGCUUGCUGUGGGAGUUUGGUGUACAGACUUUCAUCACCCAGGAUUAUUUUCAGGAUUGAAAUGAAAAAGCCAAAAUUGACAAAUGGGAUCGAAUUAAACUAAAGAGCUUCUGCAUAGCAAAAGA